ACGCUGGGCAAGGAGAAGGCUGGCGGUCAGAGGUGACGAAGACGAGCCAGGCUCGGCCCGAGGAACUGGAGUUGGGUUAGGUGAGACACUCAGCAUGGGCAGGCCGGCUGAGGCAGGGGGGCGAGGACCACCAGAGCCGAGCCUCCCCGCAGGGGCAUGUGGAAGGGAGUCAGCCAUUGCUCAUUAAUGGAAAAGGCAACGUACACUGUUUGUCUGGGGCUGACUGUCCUGAGAGUAGGUGGUGCCGAAGCUCAGAGGAGACAGAGAAGGCACCCGGCUGCGGGUCAGAGAAAGCCUCACAGAGCAGCUGAGGUCUGACCUUGGUCUGAAAGGGUGACUGAGCAGAGCGGAGGGCACAGGCACUUGAACAGAGUCAGGAGUCGAUCCACCUGGCAGGGACAUUUUGAUUAGAGGGCGUUUACGUGGGGAAGGCAGAGCCCAAAGCACAGAAGCCAUCUGGGAGGAGGUGGCCAUUCCUGAAGAGCUGAGAGGAGCCAACGAGAGGACGUACACAGCGUGCUCCCUGCAGUGGUGCCGCGGCCAGGACACAACAGGGAAGCUCCACACCAGCAGGUGCCAGUCAUGACCGAGGCAGGCUAGAAGUGAGAGGCCACCGUUACCUGUUCCGGAUCCCACCACAUC
Molecule: long non-coding RNA, 642 nt
Organism: Artibeus jamaicensis (Jamaican fruit-eating bat)
Lineage: Eukaryota; Metazoa; Chordata; Mammalia; Chiroptera; Phyllostomidae
Exons: 3
Source: RefSeq, a predicted model, not a curated record